UACGUAGGGUGCGAGCGUUGUCCGGAAUUAUUGGGCGUAAAGGGCUCGUAGGCGGUUUGUCGCGUCGGGAGUGAAAUCCACUGGCUUAACUGGUGGCUUGCUUUCGAUACGGGCAGACUGGAGGUAUGCAGGGGAGGACGGAAUUCCUGGUGUAGCGGUGAAAUGCGCAGAUAUCAGGAGGAACACCGGUGGCGAAGGCGGUUCUCUGGGCAUGUCCUGACGCUGAGGAGCGAAAGCGUGGGGAGCGAACAGG
RNAcentral lists this ribosomal RNA (253 nucleotides) under uncultured bacterium. Its description in RNAcentral is "partial 16S ribosomal RNA". It matches the Rfam family "Bacterial small subunit ribosomal RNA", at positions 524 to 776 of the family's 1533-position model. The record is from RNAcentral.